RNAcentral lists this ribosomal RNA (808 nucleotides) under uncultured Gammaproteobacteria bacterium. Its description in RNAcentral is "bacterial SSU rRNA". It matches the Rfam family "Bacterial small subunit ribosomal RNA", at positions 255 to 1056 of the family's 1533-position model. The record is from RNAcentral. Lineage: Bacteria; Pseudomonadati; Pseudomonadota; Gammaproteobacteria.
AGGUAAUGGCUCACCAAGGCGACGAUCUAUAGCUGGUUUGAGAGGAUGAUCAGCCACACUGGGACUGAGACACGGCCCAGACUCCUACAGGAGGCAGCAGUGGGGAAUAUUGGACAAUGGGGGCAACCCUGAUCCAGCCAUGCCGCGUGUGUGAAGAAGGCCCGAGGGUUGUAAAGCACUUUUAGUAAGGAGGAAGGUUAGAUAGUUAAUACCUGUUUAGCUUGACGUUACUUACAGAAAAAGCACCGGCUAACUCUGUGCCAGCAGCCGCGGUAAUACAGAGGGUGCAAGCGUUAUUCGGAAUUACUGGGCGUAAAGCGCGCGUAGGCGGAUUGUUAAGUCAGUUGUGAAAGCCCUGGGCUCAACCUAGGAAUGGCGAUUGAAACUGGCAGUCUAGAGUUUAGUAGAGGGAAGGGGAAUUUCUGGAGUAGCAGUGAAAUGCGUAGAUAUCAGAAGGAACAUCAGUGGCGAAGGCGCCUUCCUGGACUAAAACUGACGCUGAGGUGCGAAAGCGUGGGGAGCAAACGGGAUUAGAUACCCCGGUAGUCCACGCCCUAAACGAUGUCAACUAGCUGUUGGUCUUAUUAAAAAGAUUAGUAGCGCAGCUAACGCGAUAAGUUGACCGCCUGGGGAGUACGGUCGCAAGAUUAAAACUCAAAGGAAUUGACGGGGGCCCGCACAAGCGGUGGAGCAUGUGGUUUAAUUCGAUGCAACGCGAAGAACCUUACCAUCCCUUGACAUCCAGAGAAGUUUCCAGAGAUGGAUUCGUGCCUUCGGAGCUCUGAGACAGUGCUGCAUGCCUGUCGUC